CUCAGUUUGAGAAGAAGUUUGCCCUGCUCCUCUUUGCCUGGGGUGCAUUUCUUAUCGGAGUGGCGCACCUCCGCCAAGAGCCUGAGCAAACCCUUGAAAAGUCAUGCUCCCACCGCUCCGCUUCACGGAGAAAGUCAAGGAAAACACCGCCCCUUCCAGGUAGACCAGAAAACCGAACAGAAGGACACGCCCCCAACCCUGAAGAUUUCAAAGCAAACACAGCUUCAGGGGCUUUUGAGAAAGGCCCCAACAGCGAAAUACACCUGGUCCUUUGAGGCAGAGGGCGGAGCUGCUGGGCGUGUGCCCCUGCUGCAGAAGGCUGGGGCUGCCGACGGGUCCCUCCCUCUAAGGGUGCGGGCUGUCCCUGCUGUGGCCCUUGGCGCCCCCCUCCAGAUGGAGGGGCAUUUCCUGAUUCCUCGCACAUACCCUGGAGAGAAUGCCCCCCUCAGGCAAGGUGGGCCCCCGACUCUACUAAGCAUGCCACGGGAACUUUAUAGACACCUCUGCAAUGAAUUAAUAAGGGGGGGUGGUGUUUAUUUAUCUGUUUCUCCUUUUACAGGGAACAAAGGCUCCACAGGUGAAGUGAUCGGCUCCAGGUCCCCUAACUGGUUUGCGCUGCAGCCGCCAGACCAAGAGUGUCUGUGAAUCCGGCCACCCUACACCAACGAGUCCACCACGCUCGGCCACUGCUCUCGCCCUUGUCCUGCCGCCCUAGAGUUCCCCUUCCAUGUUUACCAUGACCACAGAUCUCUUUUUUUUUUCUUUUGGCAAAUAUCUGCAGCAAUGGGUCGGGAACAGGGAUGUGUGUCCAGAUGCAAGUCCCCGCGAGCACCUGCCCUCCCCCAGGAGAGGGAUGAACCGUCUCCCAGCUCAGCGGAGCAUUGUUUUAGCGUCUUGCACUUUUGGUUAGUGACAGUUUUGCAAAUUGCGGGUAAAGAACUUAAAUGUCUAAUUAAAUCCCGAAGAUGUACAGGGGUUUGAAGCGCGUGAUUGACGCUCAUGGAGGCGCGGCUUCCCGUCGGAGGCCGUCUGACAGGGCCUGCAAAGCCCGCUCGGCGCCUGACGUCUUGUUGUGAUCCGUGUUGUCAUUUUUUCAUUACUGAUUAAAAUUAAAAAUCUGCUUGGCAAAUCCAUUGUAAAAAUUCCCUUC
RNAcentral lists this long non-coding RNA (1150 nucleotides) under Dasypus novemcinctus (nine-banded armadillo). RNAcentral describes it as "lncRNA (ENSDNOG00000052367.1)". Lineage: Eukaryota; Metazoa; Chordata; Mammalia; Cingulata; Dasypodidae. The record is from RNAcentral.